GGGGGAUAUUGCACAAUGGACGGAAGUCUGAUGCAGCGACGCCGCGUGGGGGAUGAAGGCUUUCGGGUUGUAAACCUCUUUUAUUCCUGAACAAGGCUUGGAUUGUUGUCUGGGUUGAGGGUAGGGGGUGAAUAAGCGCCGGCUAACUACGUGCCAGCAGCCGCGGUAAUACGUAGGGCGCGAGCGUUGUCCGGAUUUAUUGGGCGUAAAGAGCUCGUAGGCGGUUUGUUGCGUCUGCUGUGAAAACGCGGGGCUUAACUUCGCGCGUGCAGUGGGUACGGGCAGGCUAGAGUGCGGUAGGGGAGAUUGGAAUUCCUGGUGUAGCGGUGGAAUGCGCAGAUAUCAGGAGGAACACCGAUGGCGAAGGCAGGUCUCUGGGCCGUUACUGACGCUGAGGAGCGAAAGCGUGGGGAGCGAACA
This 420-nucleotide ribosomal RNA is filed under the name uncultured Actinomycetaceae bacterium. RNAcentral's name for it is "bacterial SSU rRNA". It matches the Rfam family "Bacterial small subunit ribosomal RNA", at positions 356 to 774 of the family's 1533-position model. Lineage: Bacteria; Bacillati; Actinomycetota; Actinomycetes; Actinomycetales; Actinomycetaceae. The record is from RNAcentral.